RNAcentral lists this ribosomal RNA (136 nucleotides) under Pseudanabaena sp. RNAcentral describes it as "partial 23S ribosomal RNA". It matches the Rfam family "Bacterial large subunit ribosomal RNA", at positions 1 to 135 of the family's 2925-position model. Lineage: Bacteria; Bacillati; Cyanobacteriota; Cyanophyceae; Pseudanabaenales; Pseudanabaenaceae. The record is from RNAcentral.
AGGUCAAGCUACAAAGGGCUCACGGUGAAUACCUAGGCACAAGAAGGCGAUGAAGGACGUGGUUACCUACGAUAAGCUGCGGGGAGCUGGAAGCAAGCCCUGAUCCGCAGGUUUCCGAAUGGGGCAACCCUAUAUA